CGUGGCUAGUUGAAUUUCUCGUAGCCAGACCGCCCGCAAAACGGGGAGGAAGGUGGGAUGACGUCAAGUCAGCAUGGCCCUUAUACCCUGGGCCUACACACACGCUACAAUGGGUGGUACAAUUGGUUGCGACAGAGCGAUCUGGAGCUAAUCUAUAAAGCCAUCCUCAGUUCGGAUUGCAGGCUGCAACUCGCCUGCAUGAAGCCGGAGUUGCUAGUAACCGCAGGUCAGCAUACUGCGGUGAAUACGUUCUCGGGCCUU
Molecule: ribosomal RNA, 261 nt
Filed under: uncultured Chloroflexota bacterium
Lineage: Bacteria; Bacillati; Chloroflexota
Description: uncultured Chloroflexi bacterium partial 16S ribosomal RNA
Rfam family: Bacterial small subunit ribosomal RNA
Source: RNAcentral